RNAcentral lists this ribosomal RNA (302 nucleotides) under uncultured bacterium. RNAcentral's name for it is "partial 16S ribosomal RNA". It matches the Rfam family "Bacterial small subunit ribosomal RNA", at positions 508 to 807 of the family's 1533-position model. The record is from RNAcentral.
GCAGUAGCCGCGGGAAUACAGAGGGUGCGAGCGUUAAUCGGAUUUACUGGGCGUAAAGCGUGCGUAGGCGGCUUCUUAAGUCGGAUGUGAAAUCCCUGAGCUUAACUUAGGAAUUGCAUUCGAUACUGGGAAGCUAGAGUAUGGGAGAGGAUGGUAGAAUUCCAGGUGUAGCGGUGAAAUGCGUAGAGAUCUGGAGGAAUACCGAUGGCGAAGGCAGCCAUCUGGCCUAAUACUGACGCUGAGGUACGAAAGCAUGGGGAGCAAACAGGAUUAGAUACCCGGGUAGUCCCUGUCUCUUAUAC